Molecule: ribosomal RNA, 465 nt
Filed under: uncultured Klebsiella sp.
Lineage: Bacteria; Pseudomonadati; Pseudomonadota; Gammaproteobacteria; Enterobacterales; Enterobacteriaceae
Description: bacterial SSU rRNA
Rfam family: Bacterial small subunit ribosomal RNA
Source: RNAcentral
CCUACGGGGGGCUGCAGUGGGGAAUGUUGCACAAUGGGCGCAAGCCUGAUGCAGCCAUGCCGCGUGUGUGAAGAAGGCCUUCGGGUUGUAAAGCACUUUCAGCGGGGAGGAAGGCGGUGAGGUUAAUAACCUCAUCGAUUGACGUUACCCGCAGAAGAAGCACCGGCUAACUCCGUGCCAGCAGCCGCGGUAAUACGGAGGGUGCAAGCGUUAAUCGGAAUUACUGGGCGUAAAGCGCACGCAGGCGGUCUGUCAAGUCGGAUGUGAAAUCCCCGGGCUCAACCUGGGAACUGCAUUCGAAACUGGCAGGCUAGAGUCUUGUAGAGGGGGGUAGAAUUCCAGGUGUAGCGGUGAAAUGCGUAGAGAUCUGGAGGAAUACCGGUGGCGAAGGCGGCCCCCUGGACAAAGACUGACGCUCAGGUGCGAAAGCGUGGGGAGCAAACAGGAUUAGAUACCCUUGUAGUC